GGACUCCACUGCUAUCGGGGUAAGGCUAAGCCAUGCAAGUCGAAGGCCUCCGGCUCCGGGGGCCUGGCGUACGGCUGAGUAACGCGUGGCCAACCUGCCCUGCGGAGGGGGAUAACCCCGGGAAACUGGGGAUAAACCCCCAUAGGUGACCGGCUCUGGAAAGACCGGUCGCCGAAAGUCCCGGUCGGGGACGCUCCGGCCGGGAGCCGCAGGAUGGGGCUGCGUCCUAUCAGGUAGUUGGUGGGGUAACGGCCCACCAAGCCUGUGACGGGUAGGGGCCCUGAGAGGGGGAGCCCCCAGAUGGACUCUGAGACAAGAGUCCAGGCCCUACGGGGCGCAGCAGGCGCGAAACCUCCGCAAUGGGCGAAAGCCCGACGGGGUUACCCCGAGUGCCACCCUCGUGGUGGCUUUUGCCCGCUCUAAAAAGGCGGGCGAAUAAGGGGAGGGCAAGUCGGGUGUCAGCCGCCGCGGUAAUACCCGCUCCCCGAGUGGUGGAGGCUAUUACUGGGCCUAAAGCGCCCGUAGCCGGCCCGGUGUGUCCCUCGUUAAAUCCACGGGCUUAACCCGUGGGCUGCGGGGGAUACUACCGGGCUUGGGGGUGGGAGAGGCGCCCGGUAUUCCCGGGGUAGGGGUAAAAUCCUCUGAUCCCGG
RNAcentral lists this ribosomal RNA (651 nucleotides) under uncultured crenarchaeote. Its description in RNAcentral is "bacterial SSU rRNA". It matches the Rfam family "Archaeal small subunit ribosomal RNA", at positions 19 to 651 of the family's 1478-position model. The record is from RNAcentral. Lineage: Archaea; Thermoproteati; Thermoproteota.